RNAcentral lists this ribosomal RNA (366 nucleotides) under uncultured organism. RNAcentral's name for it is "bacterial LSU rRNA". It matches the Rfam family "Bacterial large subunit ribosomal RNA", at positions 2099 to 2465 of the family's 2925-position model. The record is from RNAcentral.
CUUUACUGCAACUUGACGUUGGAACUUGGCCGUAUUUGUGUAGGAUAGGUGGGAGACUUUGAAGCAGGGCCGCCAGGUCUUGCGGCGUCGUCGUUGAAAUACCACCCUGGUGCUGACGAGUUUCUAACCGUGUCCGUAAGCCGGACAUGAGACAGCGUCUGGUGGGCAGUUUGACUGGGGCGGUCGCCUCCUAAAAGGUAACGGAGGCAUUCAAAGGUCCCCUCAGCGUGGUCGGUAAUCACGCGCAGAGUGCAAACGCAUAAGGGGGCUUAACUGCGAGACCGACAGGUCGAGCAGGUACGAAAGUAGGAGUUAGUGAUCCCGCGGUUUAGCGUGGAAUUGCCGUUGCCCAAUGGAUAAAAGGUA